Molecule: ribosomal RNA, 489 nt
Filed under: uncultured bacterium
Lineage: Bacteria
Description: bacterial SSU rRNA
Rfam family: Bacterial small subunit ribosomal RNA
Source: RNAcentral
GAUGAACGCUAGCUACAGGCUUAACACAUGCAAGUCGAGGGGCAGCAUGGUCUUAGCUUGCUAAGGCCGAUGGCGACCGGCGCACGGGUGAGUAACACGUAUCCAACCUGCCGUCUACUCUUGGACAGCCUUCUGAAAGGAAGAUUAAUACAAGAUGGCAUCAUGAGUCCGCAUGUUCACAUGAUUAAAGGUAUUCCGGUAGACGAUGGGGAUGCGUUCCAUUAGAUAGUAGGCGGGGUAACGGCCCACCUAGUCUUCGAUGGAUAGGGGUUCUGAGAGGAAGGUCCCCCACAUUGGAACUGAGACACGGUCCAAACUCCUACGGGAGGCAGCAGUGAGGAAUAUUGGUCAAUGGACGAGAGUCUGAACCAGCCAAGUAGCGUGCAGGAUGACGGCCCUAUGGGUUGUAAACUGCUUUUAUAAGGGAUAAAGUGAGUCUCGUGAGACUUUUUGCAUGUACCUUAUGAAUAAGGACCGGCUAAUUCCGUG